GACGAACGCUGGCGGCGUGCCUAAUACAUGCAAGUAGAACGCUUAAGGAGGAGCUUGCUUCUCUGGAUGAGUUGCGAACGUGUGAGUAACGCGUAGGUAACCUUCCUGGUAGCGGGUGAUAACUAUUGGAAACGAUAGCUAAUACCUCAUAAGAGUAGAUGUCGCAUGACAUUUUCUUAAAAGGUGCAUUUGCAUCACUACCAGAUGGACCUGCGUUGUAUUAGCUAGUUGGUGAGGUAACGGCUCACCAAGGCAACUAUACAUAGCCGAGCUGAGGGGGGGAUCCGCCAACAUGGGACUGAGAAACGGGCCAGAACCCUACGGGAGGGAGCAGUAGGGAAACUUUGGAAAUGGACGGAAGGCUGAACGAGGAACGCCGGGGGAGUGAAGAAGGGUUUCGGAUUGGAAAGGUAUGUUGUAAGAGAAGAAAGAGUGUGAGAGUGGAAAGUUCACGCUGUGACGGUAUCUUAACAGAAAGGGACGGCUAACUACGUG
This 495-nucleotide ribosomal RNA is filed under the name uncultured bacterium. Its description in RNAcentral is "partial 16S ribosomal RNA". It matches the Rfam family "Bacterial small subunit ribosomal RNA", at positions 28 to 507 of the family's 1533-position model. The record is from RNAcentral.